RNAcentral lists this long non-coding RNA (320 nucleotides) under Dermacentor andersoni. RNAcentral describes it as "uncharacterized LOC126537986". Lineage: Eukaryota; Metazoa; Arthropoda; Arachnida; Ixodida; Ixodidae. The record is from RNAcentral.
ACUACCAAUACCAUGCUGAAGGAGGAGCUAAUUGUAUCUUCUUUAAUGCAACCAGCUUUCACGAGGGUGGACUAAACUUCACCUAUAACAAGCGCGUGAACGGAACGUGGAAACAUGUGCCACACGUUGCAACUUACAUCACAGAAAAAGAUCCUUACUACGAACCCCACGAGAAUCGGACAAGUCCCAACAGCAUCUGGGUGCUGAAGUCACCAGGCAAUCCAGAUAAUAGAACCUACAGGUUGAUCUAUAGCGGAAGCAACGGCUGCUCGGUCUUCCGGGUGCCAGGACAACAUAACGGUAAGAAAGACACGGAGACC